Molecule: long non-coding RNA, 309 nt
Filed under: Capsicum annuum
Lineage: Eukaryota; Viridiplantae; Streptophyta; Magnoliopsida; Solanales; Solanaceae
Description: long non-coding RNA (CANN_LNC008510)
Source: RNAcentral
AUAAAAACAAGUUUCAACCAAAAACUUUUCCUUGCAUAAUCAUAGGAUACAGUGUACUUCACAAAGGAUACCAGUGUUAUCAUCCUUAAACCCAAAAAGUUUUAUAUCACGGCAUGUAAUUUUUAAUGAAUCCUACUUACCUUAUGUUUCUAGUAGUGAUGAACUUUCUACAGAUUUGGAUGGCUUGCACCUCACCACUUUCUAGGAGUUUCUUCAUAAGAAUGAUGAUCCUACUAUGUUUUGCCCUUCAAUUCCCACACAUGAUCAAUAGACUUUGGAGCCUUAUAUAGCUUCAUUUGAAGGGCCUAC